Molecule: ribosomal RNA, 247 nt
Filed under: uncultured bacterium
Lineage: Bacteria
Description: partial 16S ribosomal RNA
Rfam family: Bacterial small subunit ribosomal RNA
Source: RNAcentral
AUACGGAGGGUGCAAGCGUUAAUCGGAAUCACUGGGCGUAAGGCGCACGUAGGCUGUUUGGUAAGUCAGGGGUGAAAUCCCGCAGCUCAACUGCGGAAUUGCCCUUGAUACUGCUGGACUUGAGUUCGGGAGAGGGUGGCGGAAUUCCAGGUGUGGGAGUGAAAUCCGUAGAUAUCUGGAGGAACAUCAGUGGCGAAGGCGGCCACCUGGACCGAUACUGACGCUGAGGUGCGAAAGCGUGGGGAGC